Molecule: ribosomal RNA, 548 nt
Filed under: uncultured Thermoplasmatales archaeon
Lineage: Archaea; Methanobacteriati; Thermoplasmatota; Thermoplasmata; Thermoplasmatales
Description: bacterial SSU rRNA
Rfam family: Archaeal small subunit ribosomal RNA
Source: RNAcentral
GCGCGAAAACUUCGCACUGUGCGAAAGCACGACGAGGGAAUCCCAAGUGCUGGCUCGUAAGAGUCAGCUGUUUUUCUGUCUAAAAAACAGGGAGAGUAAGAGCUGGGUAAGACGGGUGCCAGCCGCCGCGGUAAUACCUGCAGCUCAAGUGGUGACCGCUAUUAUUGGGCCUAAAACGUCCGUAGCCGGUUUCAUAAAUGCCUGGGUAAAUCGUACGGCUUAACCGUACGAAUUCCGGGUAGACUGUUUAACUUGAGACCGGGAGAGGCUAGAGGUACUCCUGGGGUAGAGGUGAAAUUCUGUAAUCCUAGGGGGACCACCAGUGGCGAAGGCGUCUAGCUAGAACGGGUCUGACGGUGAGGGACGAAGCCCUGGGGAGCGAAACGGGAUUAGAUACCCCGGUAGUCCAGGGUGUAAACGCUGCUCGCUUGAUGUUAGUCGGGCUCCGAGCCCAACUAGUGUCGGAGAGAAGUUGUUAAGCGAGCCUGCCUGGGGGACGUACGGCGACGAGGUCUAAGUAAAACGUUAAAGGAAGUUGGGGACGGGGA